Molecule: long non-coding RNA, 199 nt
Filed under: Elaeis guineensis (African oil palm)
Lineage: Eukaryota; Viridiplantae; Streptophyta; Magnoliopsida; Arecales; Arecaceae
Description: long non-coding RNA (EGUI_LNC017631)
Source: RNAcentral
AACUCCUUGUUGCCUGGACCCAAAAGUCUUUGAAGCUCUGUGUAGGACUACCCGAGCCUUGGAGUUCAGGAGAUCAACACAUAGAUGAGAAGCUAGCCUUGAUAGUGGUCCAAGGAUUUCCCUUGGAUUUGACCCAAGGAAAGGGCAGUUGAGGAUUUUGGCCACCCCGAUGACUUUUGCCCCUGGCCUUGCCACCAUC